This 1236-nucleotide long non-coding RNA is filed under the name Sorghum bicolor (sorghum). Its description in RNAcentral is "long non-coding RNA (SBIC_LNC001046)". Lineage: Eukaryota; Viridiplantae; Streptophyta; Magnoliopsida; Poales; Poaceae. The record is from RNAcentral.
ACCAAUUAGUAAAGACGGACAUUUUAAAAAAAACCGUCUCGGUUAACGUGUUAACGGAAGCGGUUGCUUUAUAACGGCCGCCUUCGAUAAAGCAAUUAACCAAAGCAGGCUUCUAACAGCGGCCGCCUCAGUUAACAUAUUAACCAUGGCGGUUGGACAACCGCCAUGGUUAAGGCAACAAUUAACCGUGGCCUUUCAUCCGUGGCGGUUGCAUGGCCCGCCAUGGUUAACCUGUUUUGCCUGUCACGGUUAAAUAUUUCUGUAGUAGUGCAAAAAUCUACUAAAAUAUUGUUAUCACUCACUGUCCCAAGUGUUGUUAUUCUCUCUCUCCAAUAAGAUUCAAUAGAUUCAUGGGUUAUGCAAAAAUAUGCGAGGAAAUAAAAAGGGGCAAGUGCCCGGAACCUCGAAAAAGAAAGAAAAAGAGUGAGUCGAGAGGUAAAAAUGGACAAGUGUCCGGAGUAGAAUUAGGGGUACAAAGAUGCCCACUUGACCGAAAAAAAUGGACAAGUGUCCGACAGUAGAAUUAGGGGUAUUUACUACCCACCUGAAAAAAAAGAAGAAAAGAAAAAGAUAGCCCAUGUUCUCCCAAAGCAAAGAUCAAAGAAGAGGAGAGAUAGCAAUAUGAGGAGCAACGAGAAGUAAGUUUUAUCAUCACUUAUACAUUUCCAACAUUACUAUCAUCUACUCCACCACACAUGCACAUCUUGAUUUAAUUAUAUGCUGAGUUCCUUUGGAUCCAUGGCUUGAUUAGACAACAUAUGUAUGAGCUAUUUUUCACACCUAUGAGCUCCACUUAAAUAUUCCAUUAGCUAUAGGUAGGUGACAUCUUUGUAAGGAUCCACAAAUACCACAUAUAGAGAGACUUGAGAGAAUCAUAGGUGGGAACUCUGAAUUUUAUUUUUUGAAAACUUAUGUAAAACUCCCGAACAAAGGUGAAGUAUUGACAGGAGGAAUAGUGCAUGACUUAAUUAUUUUGUCUUUUGAUUACUCAAGACUUAAGCGUAGGUACUAAGCUCCAUGACACUUCACUCUAAUCUGGAAGAAUUUUUAUGCAUGUGUGCCUGUCAGGAAAGAAAACAUCGAAGCAACUCCUGAUUCAUCUGAGUUUAGCUGUUUGCUCAGGGACGAGCAAAGGGUAAGCUUGGGGAAGAGAAAUCAUUAUCAGAGGAAGCCAUCAAAGUUAGGGUUUUAGAACUUCUCUCCCAUAGAGAAUUAGAAUUAGCUACUCCCUAAUCC